This is a long non-coding RNA of Lethenteron reissneri (Far Eastern brook lamprey), 1166 nucleotides long. RefSeq lists it as uncharacterized. NCBI's taxonomy places the organism in Eukaryota, Metazoa, Chordata, Hyperoartia, Petromyzontiformes, Petromyzontidae. The record is from RefSeq and is a predicted model, not a curated record.
CCCAUUUUUUUGAGCGCGUAACAUUUGCAUGUACGCGAAAUUACAGUACUUAUGCUGAAGUUAUUUCGCGCCGUGAUAAUCAUGGAACUAUUGAUCUUAUGUAUUUUUAAAUGUCAGUAAAAAUGUUUAAUUAAAACUUGAGGAAACAUUCCAUUCGGGUUUCCGACAGUUCGUUUUGCCACGCACGUUGACUACGUCGAUGGUACGACCCAACUCACAACACGUCUGAACAGCGAUGUUUCUGCGGUGCAGCGAGCCGGUGGGUUUUAUUUUCGAGAGGUAAAGUCACUUAAGCAGAGGAAGGAAGAAGACAAGCUCCUUUGGCGUCCUCCAACCCAAGCCCGGACUCCCACCUCGCGCGUUUUGCCACCCAUCCAAGCCGCCGCUUUUCUGGCGAACGUUUGCCGAGCAGGGCGACUGGAGGCUCCAGUCGCCCAACAACAACGGAGGGCAGAGGAGCGACACAACAACGAGCGGAGUGCCGGGCGGAUAAAAUACAGCAAGAUGGCACAGUCAGGGGCAGAGCUGGUGCAUCUGCCAGUCAUCUCAGUCAGUCAACCCACAGCACCUGGGUCUGUCCCCUGACUCCUGUCACCGAGCCUUCGACACUCUACGUGGCCUCAAAGUGCACCUUGCCUGGCACAGGCGUCGUGGUGACGUCACUGCCACUUAGUUGCGAGUGGCGGGUGUUGUUGUAUUUUUGUUAUGUGUGUGUGCACAUUAACGUGAACUGGGUGGUCACUGUUUACAAGGCAGGUUACAAGCAGGGAACGGCAGGAUGUGACACCCACUCCUUAGCUUUAUAUAUAUCAACUCUUUGAAGUCUGAGUAAUAACAUUGAAAUAUCAUAUCUUUAAAAAAUCUAUGAACUCUCUGAGGCUUUAGUUAUAAACCUUAUGUAUCGCAUAUCUUUGAAAGGCUGCUUCUACUCUCAACAUAUUUUGUGUUUAAGUUACAUUCCUAAAGAACUCGAGUUUUGCAUGCACUUUAAAGAGUCAUGAAAAUGUUUGCGAUGAAUGUAUUAAAUUUCUGUUUUAACAAUUAAGCUUUAAUCUAAAUUAAAAAAAUAACUUCAUGACCGAUGAGUUCACUUCACUUAACCGACUAAACGAUGACAGCAGGUUUAUCGCUUCCAGCAUUAAAGCAUUUAUUGCACGUGUACGCGA